CACAACUGUUUCCAGGACCCACUGCUGGUGUUGCCAUCACUGCCCUCCAGGGAAGAAGAGGAAAAAAUGAAUGUGGCUUAUUGGUAGCUAUCCCAUUAAACGGAGUAACAACAGUCAUAAAAUGUUCAAACACAAGAGAUCUGCUGUAAAGUGACUUUUGUGAAUGUCUGCUCACCUCCACCCACAUGAAAUUGGUUCCAUUUUAAGCCAGUAUAGCUAUCAACUGCU
Phascolarctos cinereus (koala) is the source of this 228-nucleotide non-coding RNA. Lineage: Eukaryota; Metazoa; Chordata; Mammalia; Diprotodontia; Phascolarctidae. The record is from RefSeq and is a predicted model, not a curated record.